GCCAACAGUCAUACCACGUUGAAAAACACCAGUUCUCGUCCGAUCACUGAAGUUAAGCAACGUUGGGCAUGGUCAGUACUUGGAUGGGUGACCGCUUGGGAACACCAUGUACCGUUGGCAC
RNAcentral lists this ribosomal RNA (121 nucleotides) under Camponotus floridanus (Florida carpenter ant). The record is from RNAcentral. Lineage: Eukaryota; Metazoa; Arthropoda; Insecta; Hymenoptera; Formicidae.